AUUUAUUAUUAGUAUACACGUCAAUACAAACCAAAAGUAGUGUAUGUUCUUCCGUUUUCGAGAAUAGCAUUGCGAAUUUGUUGUGUAAUGUGGUCGGUGUACAAAAUGGAAUCAUGAAUGUACAACCGGGUGAUGGCCAUGAAGAAUUAAGCCAGAUAUUUUCGGUGUUUGUCAAUACGUUUAUGACGACGAGAUAUGGACACCAGUGGAGGGAGAGAGGGGUGCAGAUACGACCGGCUGACUGGAUGUGGAUGGCUUUUGGAGCAUUGUGUGGCGUGAUGGCCUUCGUAUUUGGGAUUUUUUACACUCUUGUUACUGAUGUAUGCUCCUCCUCGUUUAAAGAAGACGGGAUUUUCAGAGAAAUUUCAUAUAUUUACCGCAAAUUAACGUCCGUUAGGUAGUUGUAAAUAUGUAAUCUAAUUAAUGUAAAAUGGAUCAAUGGAUAUAAAUAGAUGCUUUUUUAAACAGUCA
Magallana angulata is the source of this 471-nucleotide long non-coding RNA. RefSeq lists it as uncharacterized. The record is from RefSeq and is a predicted model, not a curated record. Lineage: Eukaryota; Metazoa; Mollusca; Bivalvia; Ostreida; Ostreidae. The transcript has 3 exons.